RNAcentral lists this ribosomal RNA (253 nucleotides) under uncultured bacterium. RNAcentral describes it as "partial 16S ribosomal RNA". It matches the Rfam family "Bacterial small subunit ribosomal RNA", at positions 524 to 776 of the family's 1533-position model. The record is from RNAcentral.
UACGUAGGGGGCAAGCGUUGUCCGGAAUCAUUGGGCGUAAAGCGCGUGUAGGCGGCCAGGUAAGUCCGUUCUGAAAGCCCGGGGCUCAACCCCGGGAGGCGGAUGGAUACUGCUUGGCUCGAGUCCGGAAGAGGCGAGUGGAAUUCCCGGUGUAGCGGUGAAAUGCGCAGAUAUCAGGAGGAACACCGAUGGCGAAGGCAGGUCUCUGGGCCACUACUGACGCUGAGAAGCGAAAGCAUGGGGAGCGAACAGG